GUCUACAGCCAUGCCACCCUGAACGUGCCCGACCUCGUCUGAUCUUGAAGCUAAGCAGGGUCGGGCCUGGUUAGGACUUGGAUGGGAGACCACCUAGGAAGACCAGGUGAUAUAGUCU
This 118-nucleotide ribosomal RNA is filed under the name Pteropus alecto (black flying fox). The record is from RNAcentral. Lineage: Eukaryota; Metazoa; Chordata; Mammalia; Chiroptera; Pteropodidae.